Molecule: long non-coding RNA, 509 nt
Filed under: Mytilus galloprovincialis (Mediterranean mussel)
Lineage: Eukaryota; Metazoa; Mollusca; Bivalvia; Mytilida; Mytilidae
Source: RNAcentral
GAAUAAAUUGUAUUCUAAGUUAAAGUAGUCUAACUGUAUUGAUAGCUCUUUGUAGUGCUAACUUAAUAAAUUUCAUAAUAGCUCAAAUAUAGUGGACAUGGACAAAUUGAUAAUUUUCUUGAAAGAAUAUUUAGGGCAAGUUUCAUUAUAACAAGAUUCCAAAGUUAUUAUAUCUUGAAAGUCAUUUCAAGCCAGAAAAAAAACAUCUCAGUGCACUUGCUUUUUACCCCCUUUUUUCUUGGUAUAUCAUAUAUUUUGUACAUAAAACUUCUUUUAAUAAUUAAAAAACAAUUGAACCAUAUUUUAACUGGGAUAGUUUAAAUAUAUUUAUGAAAAAUCUAGGAUAAAACUUGAUGCCCCCUCCAAUAUGACAGGGGCAUAAAAAGUGGGGUUUUAUCCUAUUGCUACUGUAAUGUCAACAACGCCAAACAACAUUAAAUACUUAGUUAAAGCAAGCUGGGGGACAUGACCAUCAAACAUCUUUUCAAAGCUAAAAAUUAAAAAAAACC